This 2047-nucleotide long non-coding RNA is filed under the name Brassica napus (rape). RNAcentral describes it as "long non-coding RNA (BNAP_LNC001761)". Lineage: Eukaryota; Viridiplantae; Streptophyta; Magnoliopsida; Brassicales; Brassicaceae. The record is from RNAcentral.
CGAGGAAGAUUUCAGCAGUGUUUCAGGCAAGGGAAAACGUCUCGCGAGCGAGACACGUGCCCUGGUCACCGAGUUUCCGGCUUCUUGUGACUCGCCGUGUGUCCUUUCUUUACAAGUUACCUUGUUCCCUAACCAAGGGUUCUGUAUAGGCAUAACAGCAAACCAUGCGGUCAUGGAUGGCAAAACGGUAGUGAAUUUUUAUAAAUCAUGGGCUCAUAUCUGUAAAUCACAAACACAUGGAAAUAUAUUAUUACCUGAUGAUUUAACUCCCAGUUUAGACCGCACGAUCAUCAAUGUCCCUGCUUAUCUUGAAGCCAAGAUGUUGGUUCUUCAAGGUGAAAGAACCCUCAAGAUCCCUCAAGCUGGAGAGAUCGGCCAUGACAUAUUCAGGAUCACGCUUGAGUUGACUCUGGAAAACGUAGAGAAACUUAGGGAGAGAGCUAAGAGCGAGUCAACUCGCUCUCAUUCUGAGCUUCACUUGUCCACGUUCGUUUUGGCUUACGCCUACAUGUGGACUUGCUUGGUGAAGACGCAUGGAGGCCAAGGGGAAAGACCGGUUCGUCUCAUGUAUGCUGCUGACUUUAGGAACCGGUUAGACCCGCCGGUUCAUGAGGGAUACUUAGGAAACUGUGUGUUCCCCAUCGGUUGCUUCGGACACAAAGCUAAGACGUUUUUGGGAGAAGAUGGAUUUGUCAAAGCUGUCGAGAUCCUCGGCGACUCGGUCAAAGGUUUGAGUUUAUUAGGGAUUGAGCAACUUUGCGAGUUGUACGUGGAUGGAAAGAAGAGAGUGAAACCGGGUACACAGCUGGGGACUAUUGCAGGUUCAAACCGGUUUGGGCUAUAUGGUUCGGAUUUCGGGUGGGGAAAACCCGUUAAUACUGAGUUCGUUUCGAUAGACAGGAAUGAAGCGUUCUCGAUGUCGGAGAGAGAUAUGUCCGGUGGUGUGCAGGUCGGUUUGUGUUUGAAGAAACAUGAGAUGCAUGUUUUUAUUUCUUUGUUUAAUGAUGGAUUGGUAAAUUAAAUAUUUUUCUGGCUUUUAUGACUUUCUCUUGUUUGAGAUCUUGUAAUGUAAUUUUUUCUUGUAAUGUACCUAUAUAUGCAAAGUGUCAAAGCAGAGAAAGUGAUAUUUUCAAAUUAAAUGAAAACUUUGAAAAUUUAUAAAAAUCCCUAUGGAAAUAGGGAUCCCAUGAAAAUAUCUCACAUAUCUGUUAAUUCAAUUCUGUUUUAAAUAAAAACUUAAUUAUAAAUUAAUUUUAUUUAAAUAUAAAUUUUACUUUUUGUUGGAAAAAUCUCUUUUGGAUUCCCAUGGAUAAGGAUGGAGAUGCUAUAAAAAGUUUACAUUCAUCAUUGCUGGAAAAAAUAAUCAAGAAGAGGUUUCAUUCAUCGGAGAUGGUGCUAAAUAUCAUCAAGAUCUCCCAUGUCAGCCCCUAUGCAGAUUCAUUAUAUGACCCACUCGUUGUCCCACUCACUUUCUUCGACCUAAAGUGGCUAAAAGAUUCUGUACAGCAAGUCGUCUUCUACAAACUCACCGAGUCAUCAUCAUCACGCAAGUUCUUCUACUCCGUGAUCAUCCCUAAACUCGAGGCAUCUCUUUCUCUUGUUCUCGGUCACUUCCUCCCCCUUGCGGGUCACGUCACUUGGAACCCGCAAGAUCCUAAGCCUUGCAUCGUCGUGUUCCCGCACGACACUGUCACGUUGACAGUGUCUGAGAGCGAGGAAGAUUUCAGCAGUGUUUCAGGCAAGGGAAAACGUCUCGCGAGCGAGACACGUGCCCUGGUCACCGAGUUUCCGGCUUCUUGUGACUCGCCGUGUGUCCUUUCUUUACAAGUUACCUUGUUCCCUAACCAAGGGUUCUGUAUAGGCAUAACAGCAAACCAUGCGGUCAUGGAUGGCAAAACGGUAGUGAAUUUUUAUAAAUCAUGGGCUCAUAUCUGUAAAUCACAAACACAUGGAAAUAUAUUAUUACCUGAUGAUUUAACUCCCAGUUCAGACCGCACGAUCAUCAAUGUCCCUGCUUAUCUUGAAGCCAAGAUGUUGGUUCUUCAAG